RNAcentral lists this long non-coding RNA (3463 nucleotides) under Homo sapiens (human). RNAcentral's name for it is "HSALNT0385408". Lineage: Eukaryota; Metazoa; Chordata; Mammalia; Primates; Hominidae. The record is from RNAcentral.
AAGUUGCAAAGUCAUACCUUUCUGCUCUUGUCAGACAAUUAAGGGGUCUUUGAAUACUUCAGCUCUAAUAAUUUCCUUCCUAACAUACAUAUUGCAGUGCUUAUCUAAUUUUAAAUAUCCUUUUGUUUCAACACCUAAUUUUCUAUUUUGAUCUAUCUGUAUGUUUACAAUAUAUUUUGCUCUGUGUUCAUUCUUUGAUUUCAGAACUUCAAUCUUUCUGAAGCGUGUUUUCAGUUUCGUUUGAGUUUCUUUAGUGGAAUUCUGCUGGUGGUGUUUUGUUUUUUGUCUCUAAAUAUGUUAUUUAGCCAUAGGUUGAUGAAUGUUUUUCUUGGUUGAGAAUUUCAGAAUGGCAUUAUUAUUCUUAACAAAUAAUAUUGUUUAUUUUACCUUUCAUGCUUUCAGAUUUCAAUAUGAUUAAAGGUAAUUUGAUUUUUCUAGUGCUAAUUGAAAUAUUUUUCCCUUCCUGAUUGUUUACUAUUUCUCUAGGAGAUAUGUAGAUGUAGGUUUAUCUCCAUCGUAGCUUGCUUAGCAUGCAUAGAAGUUUUGAAUAUGUGGAUUAGUGUCUUACAAAAGUCUAGAGAACUUUCAGCCAAAAUACCAUCACAUAUUGUCCCUUCCCUGUUCCCUUCCUCUAUGAGAACACUCACUAAACACAUGCUACACUUUCUCACUGUAUCUUCCAUGUCUCUUCAUGAUUCUGUCCACAUUGUGCCUUUUUUAAAAUUUUCUGUAAUGCAUUCUGAAAUAUUUAUGAACUCUCACCAUGGCCAUGUCUAAUCUGAUGAGUUCAUUUUUGAGUUUUUAAUUUAAAAUACUAUAUAUAAACUACUUUUCAAAUUUACUACAUCAAUUUUUUAGUCUCCUAAAAAUAUAUUCAUUUUUUUUUAAUUUUUUGAAAGCAAAUGUGCUUUAUAAUCUAACAGUGAUAUUUCUACUAAUGAACCUUUGUGGAUCUGUUUGUACUCUUUUUCUGCUUUCCUUUCAAAUGGUGGAAUAUCAUUUCCUUGCGUACUUAGAUGCCUUUGAAUGACAAAGAUUUAUUUUUCUCUGAAAAUUAUUAUUGUGCACUUUUGCAUAUUAGAAGAAAAUUUGCCAAAGAGAAUUUGAAUUUUUUGUGAGUCUACUAAAGGCACCACCAUUCUGGGACCACAUUAUAUUAAUUCUUGGCCUAAAGGUGUUUGGACGUAUGUUUGGACAGCACAUUUAAACAAUUUUUAAAUUAAUUGCUGUAAAUCAUUAAUGAUUGAGUUGCUUUAAAUCUGUCCAAUCUCAAGUCAUUUUUAUUUGCCAUUUCCAGGGAAUGUGAAAUGAGACUAAUUUACCUCUGAUUCUUCUUUAGACUGAGGAUAUAAAUUUUGGUUCUAGCUUUAGGGAAGAGCUCCUGUGUGAUGCCCUAUCUUGGGAAACACUAUGUAUUUCUUUACUGUCCUAUGUGAUGUAUGACAGUAGGAAUCUGCAGUCAUUCAUUUUGCUACAUGUCCGUAGGGCAAAAUCAGUUUCAGUGUUUAGGUGUAUUUUGUCUGCUCCCUGCAUUCCCAUGGUUUUGACCUUAUAUUUUACUUUUUUUUUGUGAACGUACCAAUGCUUCAAUUUUUUUCCAGUAAUAUAAUCAACUAUACUAUAAGAGAAAAAUUUUGAUAAAACACAAAUUUCAUGUUUUCCUACUCUAAUUGGCUUUUACGUAAAAAUACAGGUAAAAUUUAUUUGUGCUUUUUUGCUAUUAUUUUUUGCUAUUCUCUGUUUGUCUAUGUCUUCACCACAUAGACACAAUUAGGGAAUUUUGUACACUCUUGUGCCAACUGCUUUGAUAGGAACAAAAUGUAUUUCUCGAACUCCUAGGUAUAAAACUCAAGUAUCCAUGAUUGAAAUUCUUUUUUGCUCACUUCUAUUAUGUUUCCAGUCUCAAUAGAAAUCGAUGCCAAUCCAGAAAUACAAGCAUUAUUCUAAUACUUCUCACACAUUACUGCAGGAGUGAGGACACAGCGAAAGUGAGACAAGGAAAAGAGAACAAAAUAAAACAGGAAAGAUAGAAAAGCCAAUACCACACGUGUUAAGAGUAACAAGCUCCCGUGCUGCUAGAGAAAGUCCUCAGCUAGAAACUGGUGCAAAUUCUGGAGAUGAGACCUUGUAGAGUGUUAAGAAUGGUUUUCUUCCCAGCAGCUACAGGUAAGGAAUAGGGGCUGGGCUAUUAAUACAUCUGCUACAAACCAAUAAAGCCCUUAUGCUCCUUUUGGUGAUCGACAAUGUAUUUAAAAAUAUUAGAUGAUCAAGAAGGACUGCAGAAAGGAGGAAACAGAAACAAACAGCACACCUCUUGGUUUAUUUGUAUUCAUUUCAUCAGUUUCAAGGAAAAUAUGUUGGGAGUUCCUCGCAUAGAGAAUGUCACAAAGACAUGUUUUCAAUAGUAGUGCUAUCCCUAGGGCAGAGAAGACCCAGAGAAAGCCCAAGUGGCUGCUGGAACACAGUCAGACACCGUGCCACCUGUCCACACUCCUUGGCUCUGCCAUCAUGCUGAAGAUCGCUUUAAAGGACUGGCUUCCCUCCCCCCAAAAUGAAUAGAGCACAGACUGAGAAACUGAAUGUGGGAGACAGCAGUGGAUUAUGCUGUUCUCAGGGGUCACCUCAGGUUUGGAAGCAUUCUUUCAAAUUAACCCAUCUCAGGCCAUCUGCAGAGAAGAAAGGUGGUACCUAACUUUUUUCUUGUCAGCAUUUGGUAGGGGUGUUUUAUUGACCAAAUAUGUUCCCACAACCUAGUUUUUUGUGAGUAACUAAAUAUAGUAGAGUUUUAAAUUUUAUCAUCAAAAUCUAUAGACAAUUUUUGAUGAAAAUAGACUCCAUCUCUAUGUCCUGCUUUUCUUCUUCUUAUUAAUUACAUUGCUGUAUAAAAGAACAAGACUUCAGAAUCAAGAAUAUCUUGUCUCUUGGCAUUGAAUUUAUACAAGGUGCUCUUUCUUUAAUGCUGUCUCAAAGGACAUAUUUUUACUCAUUAAAAAGGAAGAUCGGAAUCUAGUUGUAUGCGCUGCUCCAACAUAUUAAUAAUUAAAAUUAGGAGGUAAAUGUGGUCAAAACUAUAGAAAGACUGAGAUGUCAUUUAUAUUGAUUGCUGUAUAGCAUUCUACAAACAGAAAUUGUUAAAUAAGUUUAUAUAAAUAUUUUGUAGCAUUUCAAAUAUUUGAGUGCUUGACGUUUCUCCUCUUCUAUAGUUCAGAUUAUCAAUUUGAAGACUUACUCCGCUAGUUAAAAUGUUUUUAGUCUCGUUCGAGUAUUAUAUAAAAGCAAUUUUCAGUUAAAUGUGUUCCGCUUACAUACAACAUUACAAAUUAUUGAGGAUUUAAUUACUUAUUCAUGUUCCUGUAAUAUCUUUAGAAGAUUUUCUUAUUAUUACCUAUCAAUAUAUGUAUGCUUUGUCAAAGAAAAAUCAAACAUAUAUAUCAUUGAAAUUGAAACUUUUUAAAAGUACUUA